UACGACUACAUAUCAGGCAUAUCAAUAAGCGGAGGAAAAGAAACUAACAAGGAUUCCCCUAGUAACGGCGAGUGAAGCGGGAAGAGCUCAAAUUUGAAAUCUUAAAGGUUUUCCCUUGACGAAUUGUAGUUUAAAGAAGUGUUUUCUGUUGAAGUUUCGGUAAAAGUUCUUUGGAAUAGGACAUCAUAGAGGGUGAGAAUCCCGUAUUUGACCGUUACUUUUCCAGCUGUGUGAUACACUUUCAAAGAGUCGGAUUGUUUGGGAAUGCAGUCCAAAAUGGGUGGUAAAUUUCAUCUAAAGCUAAAUAUUGGCGAGAGACCGAUAGCGAACAAGUACCGUGAGGGAAAGAUGAAAAGAACUUUGAAAAGAGAGUUAAACAGUACGUGAAAUUGUCAAAAGGGAAGCGUUUGACACCAGUGUUGUUUUCUCGAAAAUCAAUUAAAAAAUGCUUUGAUUUUGUGUUGUAUUGACCUUAAAAGCUUUCUUCACUUUUUUCUAUGUCUUUUUAAUGCACUUUUCCGUUUAACAAGUCAACAUCAGUUUCUUUUGUUGUAAAAAGGUCAUUGGAAGGUGGCUUUCUUUUCGGAGAAAGUGUUUAUAGCCUUUGACUCCUGCAAUCGGAGAGACUGAGGUCUGCAGCGUAGAUCCUUCUUGGAUUAGAUUCAUUUGUGCUAAGUUAUAGCUUUUUAUAGACAACAUUGUUGACUAUAUUUAGUCUUGUAGCUUACUCGCUUAUGCAAUUUUACCUACGCUUAGGAUGUUGAACGCGCACAGAGUCUC
Molecule: ribosomal RNA, 780 nt
Filed under: uncultured Neocallimastigales
Lineage: Eukaryota; Fungi; Neocallimastigomycota; Neocallimastigomycetes; Neocallimastigales
Description: partial large subunit ribosomal RNA
Rfam family: Eukaryotic large subunit ribosomal RNA
Source: RNAcentral